ACUCCUACGGGAGGCAGCAGUGGGAAUAUUGCACAAUGGGCGCAAGCCUGAUGCAGCCAUGCCGCGUGUGUGAAGAAGGCCUUCGGGUUGUAAAGCACUUUCAGUUGUGAGGAAGGUGGUGUCGUUAAUAGCGGCAUCAUUUGACGUUAGCAACAGAAGAAGCACCGGCUAACUCCGUGCCAGCAGCCGCGGUAAUACGGAGGGUGCGAGCGUUAUCCGGAUUUAUUGGGUUUAAAGGGUCCGUAGGCGGGUUAAUAAGUCAGUGGUGAAAUCCCAUCGCUUAACGAUGGAACUGCCAUUGAUACUGUUAGUCUUGAAUGAGGGUGUAGUGGUUGGAAUGUGUAGUGUAGCGGUGAAAUGCAUAGAUAUUACACAGAACACCGAUUGCGAAGGCAGAUCACUAACCCUAAAUUGACGCUGAGGGACGAAAGCGU
Molecule: ribosomal RNA, 434 nt
Filed under: uncultured bacterium
Lineage: Bacteria
Description: bacterial SSU rRNA
Rfam family: Bacterial small subunit ribosomal RNA
Source: RNAcentral